CCUACGGGUGGCAGCAGUGAGGAAUAUUGGUCAAUGGGCGGGAGCCUGAACCAGCCAAGUCGCGUGAGGGAAGACGGUCCUACGGAUUGUAAACCUCUUUUGCCGGGGAGCAACGGGGUCCUUGCGAGGGCCCGAUGAGAGUACCCGGAGAAAAAGCAUCGGCUAACUACGUGCCAGCAGCCGCGGUCAUACGUAGGAUCCGAGCAUUAUCCGGAGUGACUGGGUGUAAAGAGUUGCGUAGGUGGCAUAAUAAGUAGCUAGUGAAAUCUGGUGGCUCAACCAUUCAGACUAUUAGCUAAACUGUUAAGCUCGAGACCGUUAGGGGUAACUGGAAUUUCUAGUGUAGGAGUGAAAUCCGUAGAUAUUAGAAGGAACACCAAUAGCGUAGGCAGGUUGCUGGGACGGUUCUGACACUAAGGCACGAAAGCGUAGGGAGCAAACGGGAUUAGAUACCCCUGUAGUC
RNAcentral lists this ribosomal RNA (463 nucleotides) under uncultured bacterium. Its description in RNAcentral is "partial 16S ribosomal RNA". It matches the Rfam family "Bacterial small subunit ribosomal RNA", at positions 338 to 795 of the family's 1533-position model. The record is from RNAcentral.